RNAcentral lists this ribosomal RNA (271 nucleotides) under uncultured Oscillospiraceae bacterium. RNAcentral's name for it is "partial 16S ribosomal RNA". It matches the Rfam family "Bacterial small subunit ribosomal RNA", at positions 73 to 339 of the family's 1533-position model. Lineage: Bacteria; Bacillati; Bacillota; Clostridia; Eubacteriales; Oscillospiraceae. The record is from RNAcentral.
AUUCGUCCAAGUGAAGCAGAGGACAGUGGCGGACGGGUGAGUAACGCGUGAGGAACCUGCCUUUCAGUGGGGGACAACAGUUGGAAACGACUGCUAAUACCGCAUAAGCCCACGGAUCCGCAUGGAUCUGCGGGAAAAGGAUUUAUUCGCUUCAGGAUGGACUCGCGUCCAAUUAGCUAGUUGGUGAGGUAACGGCCCACCAAGGCGACGAUCAGUAGCCGGACUGAGAGGUUGACCGGCCACAUUGGGACUGAGAUACGGCCCAGACUCC